UGAAAUUGCGCGAGUGUGAGCGUCUGACCCUAACCCCCAAAUCCCCAAUCCCUAACCUACCUCAGUGCUCAUCGCCCUCUCUUCUACAAAACUCCACACCUGCGCACCCAGCCACACCUGCGAAGCCUUCGGCCCGUCGCACAUUAGGCCAACACGAAGCCUUCCUCUUCGCGAAGACGCCGACAGAGCAGAGAUCCCAUCACGCCGCCACCCUAACCCAUCAGUUCAGCCCAGCACAGAGACGCCACCACCCUAACCCCUCAGUUCAGCCCAGCACGGCAGCACCUCCCAGUCUCCCACUCAGCCUUCCUCCCAAGUCAAUAUGGAGCCCGAGCCACCGAUUCAGGUUGGUUUGUAUUAAGAAGUUUAGCUGUUUUGUUAGAGAAGACACCAUAACUUUGCUAUCUUUUAAUGACAUUUUUUUUAAUUUUCAGUUGUGUUGACUGUUGAACUAUUAAACUUCUUUAAUUGUCGUAUUUGAAUUUCUUUUGUCGUUAAAUUUUA
Arachis ipaensis is the source of this 504-nucleotide non-coding RNA. Lineage: Eukaryota; Viridiplantae; Streptophyta; Magnoliopsida; Fabales; Fabaceae. The record is from RefSeq and is a predicted model, not a curated record.